This 2925-nucleotide ribosomal RNA is filed under the name Shigella sonnei. Its description in RNAcentral is "partial 23S ribosomal RNA". It matches the Rfam family "Bacterial large subunit ribosomal RNA". Lineage: Bacteria; Pseudomonadati; Pseudomonadota; Gammaproteobacteria; Enterobacterales; Enterobacteriaceae. The record is from RNAcentral.
GGGUUGUGAGGUUAAGCGACUAAGCGUACACGGUGGAUGCCCUGGCAGUCAGAGGCGAUGAAGGACGUGCUAAUCUGCGAUAAGCGUCGGUAAGGUGAUAUGAACCGUUAUAACCGGCGAUUUCCGAAUGGGGAAACCCAGUGUGAUUCGUCACACUAUCAUUAACUGAAUCCAUAGGUUAAUGAGGCGAACCGGGGGAACUGAAACAUCUAAGUACCCCGAGGAAAAGAAAUCAACCGAGAUUCCCCCAGUAGCGGCGAGCGAACGGGGAGCAGCCCAGAGCCUGAAUCAGUGUGUGUGUUAGUGGAAGCGUCUGGAAAGGCGUGCGAUACAGGGUGACAGCCCCGUACACAAAAAUGCACAUAUUGUGAGCUCGAUGAGUAGGGCGGGACACGUGGUAUCCUGUCUGAAUAUGGGGGGACCAUCCUCCAAGGCUAAAUACUCCUGACUGACCGAUAGUGAACCAGUACCGUGAGGGAAAGGCGAAAAGAACCCCGGCGAGGGGAGUGAAAAAGAACCUGAAACCGUGUACGUACAAGCAGUGGGAGCACGCUUAGGCGUGUGACUGCGUACCUUUUGUAUAAUGGGUCAGCGACUUAUAUUCUGUAGCAAGGUUAACCGAAUAGGGGAGCCGAAGGGAAACCGAGUCUUAACUGGGCGUUAAGUUGCAGGGUAUAGACCCGAAACCCGGUGAUCUAGCCAUGGGCAGGUUGAAGGUUGGGUAACACUAACUGGAGGACCGAACCGACUAAUGUUGAAAAAUUAGCGGAUGACUUGUGGCUGGGGGUGAAAGGCCAAUCAAACCGGGAGAUAGCUGGUUCUCCCCGAAAGCUAUUUAGGUAGCGCCUCGUGAAUUCAUCUCCGGGGGUAGAGCACUGUUUCGGCAAGGGGGUCAUCCCGACUUACCAACCCGAUGCAAACUGCGAAUACCGGAGAAUGUUAUCACGGGAGACACACGGCGGGUGCUAACGUCCGUCGUGAAGAGGGAAACAACCCAGACCGCCAGCUAAGGUCCCAAAGUCAUGGUUAAGUGGGAAACGAUGUGGGAAGGCCCAGACAGCCAGGAUGUUGGCUUAGAAGCAGCCAUCAUUUAAAGAAAGCGUAAUAGCUCACUGGUCGAGUCGGCCUGCGCGGAAGAUGUAACGGGGCUAAACCAUGCACCGAAGCUGCGGCAGCGACACUAUGUGUUGUUGGGUAGGGGAGCGUUCUGUAAGCCUGUGAAGGUGUACUGUGAGGUAUGCUGGAGGUAUCAGAAGUGCGAAUGCUGACAUAAGUAACGAUAAAGCGGGUGAAAAGCCCGCUCGCCGGAAGACCAAGGGUUCCUGUCCAACGUUAAUCGGGGCAGGGUGAGUCGACUCCUAAGGCGAGGCCGAAAGGCGUAGUCGAUGGGAAACAGGUUAAUAUUCCUGUACUUGGUGUUACUGCGAAGGGGGGACGGAGAAGGCUAUGUUGGCCGGGCGACGGUUGUCCCGGUUUAAGCGUGUAGGCUGGUUUUCCAGGCAAAUCCGGAAAACUAAGGCUGAGGCGUGAUGACGAGGCACUACGGUGCUGAAGCAACAAAUGCCCUGCUUCCAGGAAAAGCCUCUAAGCAUCAGGUAACAUCAAAUCGUACCCCAAACCGACACAGGUGGUCAGGUAGAGAAUACCAAGGCGCUUGAGAGAACUCGGGUGAAGGAACUAGGCAAAAUGGUGCCGUAACUUCGGGAGAAGGCACGCUGAUAUGUAGGUGAAGUCCCUCGCGGAUGGAGCUGAAAUCAGUCGAAGAUACCAGCUGGCUGCAACUGUUUAUUAAAAACACAGCACUGUGCAAACACGAAAGUGGACGUAUACGGUGUGACGCCUGCCCGGUGCCGGAAGGUUAAUUGAUGGGGUCAGCGCAAGCGAAGCUCUUGAUCGAAGCCCCGGUAAACGGCGGCCGUAACUAUAACGGUCCUAAGGUAGCGAAAUUCCUUGUCGGGUAAGUUCCGACCUGCACGAAUGGCGUAAUGAUGGCCAGGCUGUCUCCACCCGAGACUCAGUGAAAUUGAACUCGCUGUGAAGAUGCAGUGUACCCGCGGCAAGACGGAAAGACCCCGUGAACCUUUACUAUAGCUUGACACUGAACAUUGAGCCUUGAUGUGUAGGAUAGGUGGGAGGCUUUGAAGUGUGGACGCCAGUCUGCAUGGAGCCGACCUUGAAAUACCACCCUUUAAUGUUUGAUGUUCUAACGUUGACCCGUAAUCCGGGUUGCGGACAGUGUCUGGUGGGUAGUUUGACUGGGGCGGUCUCCUCCUAAAGAGUAACGGAGGAGCACGAAGGUUGGCUAAUCCUGGUCGGACAUCAGGAGGUUAGUGCAAUGGCAUAAGCCAGCUUGACUGCGAGCGUGACGGCGCGAGCAGGUGCGAAAGCAGGUCAUAGUGAUCCGGUGGUUCUGAAUGGAAGGGCCAUCGCUCAACGGAUAAAAGGUACUCCGGGGAUAACAGGCUGAUACCGCCCAAGAGUUCAUAUCGACGGCGGUGUUUGGCACCUCGAUGUCGGCUCAUCACAUCCUGGGGCUGAAGUAGGUCCCAAGGGUAUGGCUGUUCGCCAUUUAAAGUGGUACGCGAGCUGGGUUUAGAACGUCGUGAGACAGUUCGGUCCCUAUCUGCCGUGGGCGCUGGAGAACUGAGGGGGGCUGCUCCUAGUACGAGAGGACCGGAGUGGACGCAUCACUGGUGUUCGGGUUGUCAUGCCAAUGGCACUGCCCGGUAGCUAAAUGCGGAAGAGAUAAGUGCUGAAAGCAUCUAAGCACGAAACUUGCCCCGAGAUGAGUUCUCCCUGACUCCUUGAGAGUCCUGAAGGAACGUUGAAGACGACGACGUUGAUAGGCCGGGUGUGUAAGCGCAGCGAUGCGUUGAGCUAACCGGUACUAAUGAACCGUGAGGCUUAACCUUACAACGCCGAAGG